Molecule: non-coding RNA, 162 nt
Organism: Cucumis sativus (cucumber)
Lineage: Eukaryota; Viridiplantae; Streptophyta; Magnoliopsida; Cucurbitales; Cucurbitaceae
Source: Rfam
AUACUUACCUGGACGGGGUCUUUGGGCGAUCAAUAAGGUCCAUGUCCUAGGGUAGUGACUUCCAUUGCACUUAGGAAGGGUGCUACCCUAAGGUCUGUCCAAAGUGGCAGAGCCUACGUCAUAAUUUGUGGCAGUGGGGGCCUGCGUUCGCGCGGCCCCUUC